UGGGCUCUUCAGCGGAUCCCCAAAGGCAGGCACUGCUCCAUCUGCAUUUCUAGAAAGGGAGGCUGCACCGGACUCUGCCACACAGAACCAUUCCAACUUUUCUUCUGUGGCAACAUGCAAGUAGGAUACUUUACACCAGAAACAUGCACCUGCUCACACACACUCGACCUGCACUGGACUCCUGGCAUUACCUGUGACCCUGGGCCAGCUUCUCAAGUUCCUGCGACUGUUCCACCACCUCCAGGCUGUUGCUGGGGACAGAUAAGCAGCUUUCACAAGCUUUGGGGUCACCAGUGAUCACAAGGCUGACGGCAAGGUGGGAACACAAGGGUGGUCCCAGAAGAGCAUGCCGUGCACCUCUAAAUUAACAACAGCACAGCAGAGAAACUUCAAAAGACAAGACUGACACUUCUGAUAGAAGCAAGAAACUAACAUGGCUGGGACAGCUGGCCAAUCAGGUGUGAGACUCGGCCAAGCUGAGACUGGACAGAGACGCAGCAGGCAAGCCAAGAGUCAGAACGUGCAGACGCGAGAGGUGCAGCCGCAGAGCCGGGGAAGGGAAAGACACUGGGAAUUUAAAGUGAGGUAGGAAGACACAAGGGUGA
Molecule: non-coding RNA, 605 nt
Organism: Peromyscus maniculatus bairdii (prairie deer mouse)
Lineage: Eukaryota; Metazoa; Chordata; Mammalia; Rodentia; Cricetidae
Source: RefSeq, a predicted model, not a curated record